This 690-nucleotide ribosomal RNA is filed under the name Triticum aestivum (bread wheat). Its description in RNAcentral is "partial small subunit ribosomal RNA". The record is from RNAcentral. Lineage: Eukaryota; Viridiplantae; Streptophyta; Magnoliopsida; Poales; Poaceae.
AUGCGCAGAGCUCAGAUUCAAUGGCUGGCAGCUCAAGUUCUGCUGCCGAAAAGCACGUUGACAUAUCAUGAUCGACAAAAUAGUGGAAAAGCUACAGUAUUGGGUGAUGCUGCACGAGUACUGCGAGAUUUAAUUACUCAAGUUGAAUCUCUUAGAAAGGAGCAAUCUACUCUUCUAACUAAGCAACAAUAUGUCGGUUCAGAGAAGACCAAGCUGCAAGAUGAGAAUACUACACUCAGAGCCCAAAUAAUAGAACUGCAGAACGAGCUUCGUGCAAGGAUCGGAAACAAUAGCGUGAAUCUAUGCAGCCUUGGGGUGCUACAUCCAAUAGGGAGAAGCUACACUACUAAUUUAGCAACCCAUCCAACACGACAUGAUACAUGGAGCAAUGCUUCUAAUUCAAGCAUCAUGCACAUGGUGCCCCCAACCAACACACCAUCCGCACUGCAGAAUCAGCAGCAUCACUCUAUUGCUUCUGGUCAGGUUGCAUCACGGCCUCAGGAGCACCAGCUCUUCCCGGGGACAUCAGCAUCAUCAUGUUCCCGGCAUAGAAGCAACCCAGUUACUUCUUCGAGCCUUGCGGAUUCCUUACCUGGACAGCUUCACCUCAGCCUUCCACCAACAUCCCAAGAAGAAAGCAGCGGCGGCGGAGGCGCACCGGGAAACAGAAAAGAACGAAAUACAGGUUAG